This 486-nucleotide ribosomal RNA is filed under the name uncultured bacterium. RNAcentral describes it as "partial 16S ribosomal RNA". It matches the Rfam family "Bacterial small subunit ribosomal RNA", at positions 29 to 507 of the family's 1533-position model. The record is from RNAcentral.
AUUGAACGCUGGCGGCAUGCCUUACACAUGCAAGUCGAACGGCAGCACGGGUACUUGCACCUCGUGGCGGGUGGCGGGCGGGUGAGUGAUACAUCGGAACAUAUCCUGUAGAGGGGGAUAGCCCGGCGCAAGCCAGAUUAAUACCGCCUACGAACUACGGCUGAAAGCGGGGGACCUUCGGUCCUCGCGCUUUCGAGUUGGCCGAUGCAGGAUUAGCUAGUUGGUGGGGUAAGGGCCCACCAAGGCGACGAUCAGUAGCUGGUCUGAGAGGAUGACCAGCCACACUGGAACUGAGACACGGCCCAGACUCCUACGGGAGGCAGCAGUGGGGAAUUUUGGACAAUGGGCGCAAGCCUGAUGCAGCAAUGCCGCGUGUGUGAAGAAGGCCUUCGGGUUGUAAAGUACUUUCGGCCGGGAAGAAGUCCGUGGCGCUAAUACGGUCGGGGGAUGACGGUACCGGAAGAAUAAGCACCGGCUAACUACGUG